AACGCGAAGAACCUUACCAGGCCUUGACAUCCAAUGAACUUUCUAGAGAUAGAUUGGUGCCUUCGGGAACUGUGAGACAGGUGCUGCAUGACUGUCGUCAGCUCGUGUUGUGAAAUGUUGGGUUAAGUCCCGCAACGAGCGCAACCCUUAUCUUUUGUUGCCAGCGGUCCGGCCGGGAACUCAAAGGAGACUGCCAGUGAUAAACUGGAGGAAGGUGGGGAUGACGUCAAGUCAUCAUGGCCCUUACGACCAGGGCUACACACGUGCUACAAUGGCGCAUACAAAGAGAAGCGACCUCGCGAGAGCAAGCGGACCUCAUAAAGUGCGUCGUAGUCCGGAUUGGAGUCUGCAACUCGACUCCAUGAAGUCGGAAUCGCUAGUAAUCGUGGAUCAGAAUGCCACGGUGAAUACGUUCCCGGGUCUUGUACACACCG
RNAcentral lists this ribosomal RNA (434 nucleotides) under uncultured bacterium. RNAcentral's name for it is "bacterial SSU rRNA". It matches the Rfam family "Bacterial small subunit ribosomal RNA", at positions 958 to 1392 of the family's 1533-position model. The record is from RNAcentral.